AGUAUAAGAACACACUUUAUUCUUUGGGAUUAGGUCAUAAUUGGUAAAUUCUAUGGAGUUCUGAGGAAAGUUGAGACACUGCCACCCAGAGGUGAUCUAGUUCCAUUUGACUAGCAAAUCUGAGGGUGAUGAUGCUGUGCUCAGCAGAUCAACAUGAUAAAGCUGCUUAUCCUUGAUUCAGAGCUUUAAAAAUUGUGACUUCCCGUUCUUACCCUCUCACUAACCCUUUCUUCAAAACAAGAAUUUUUUUUAAAAGAAACUAUCAUACAUCCUACUUAAUCUAUCUUCUUGUUGUCACAUUGAUCAACAUAUGCUCCAGUAAUGUAGCAGUUGAAUUUCAACUUCACAGGGUAUGAAGGAAUCUCUGAAAUAAGCCCAUGAUCUCAGUAAGUCCCCACAUCUGUCUAGCAUAAAAGCUGGCUGGAGAGACCCAGACAAGGGUGUGAAGCCAAGAGUGUUCAUCAAUUCAACUGAGUUGCCUUAUGAUCAGCCCUCACAACCCCCGUGAUUAGCAAAGCCCCAGGAAGGUCAAGCAACCCCAAAGAGUCUGGAAACUUCAACAAAAUUUUGCCUUCUUUUGGCUGAGUAGAAACAGUUUAUGAGCCAGGCUGAUUAUGAGCAGCUGCCCAGGUACUGUGAUUUGAUAGAAGGCUAGACAGGAAUCGUACCUCCAGACUAAAAAUAUCUGCCUUCUUACCAUGGCAACCCCUUUCUAUUGGAUUUUGGCUCAUUUACUUAAAUUGAGAGCACAGCUUCAUAGACAGAACACAAUCCACAGACUCAGAAUCCCCUGAUGGCAAAAAAAAAAACAAAAAACAAAAAACAAAAAAAACAACCUUAUAAUGUAAAGAUAUGUGUUUGAGAGAAAGAUUGUUGGUAGAUUUCUAAGCCCCUAAUGUUAUACAUUGUAUUGUAUGAAUAAAAUCAAAUAUGGUA
This is a long non-coding RNA of Talpa occidentalis (Iberian mole), 936 nucleotides long. RefSeq lists it as uncharacterized. The transcript is spliced from 3 exons. NCBI's taxonomy places the organism in Eukaryota, Metazoa, Chordata, Mammalia, Eulipotyphla, Talpidae. The record is from RefSeq and is a predicted model, not a curated record.